AAACCGUUCAGGGGUAAACCUGAGAAACCCAAAAGAUCGAACGGGGAGAUUCAUCGUCGACGGCGUAGGCUACCGUUGGUGCGCGAUGCUCCGGAUGGGCCCCCCGCGGUUCCAUUAGCGAGGGCACGCCACCCUCGGAUCGAACGUUCCUGCGUCGUAGUCGUGCACUUCUCCCCUGGUAGGACGUCGCGACCCGUUGUGUGUCGGUCUACGGCCCGAGCGGGAGACUGUCGCGUCGUUUCGGCGCACGCGGCAGACCCUCGGUCGCCCGGCCGGCUGCACGACGGUACACAUCACGGUAUCGGGCCGCAGCCAAUCCAUUCUCGAAUGUGUGUGCGUCCAUCCCGCCGCAAGCUCGGUCAGUUCUUACCCGGAGGCCACGGACCCAGUGCCGUCCCCGGGCCUGGCCAGCUGUUAGCGGGCGGUGUUACUCGGACCGGCCAAACCACGGAUUACCGGUCGGCGACGCUAUUGCUUUGGGUACUCUCAGGACCCGUCUUGAAACACGGACCAAGGAGUCUAACAUGUGCGCGAGUCAUUGGGAUGCACAAACCUAAAGGCGAAAUGAAAGUGAAAGUCGGCCUUCGCGCCGAUCGAGGGAGGAUGGGCCGCGUGACAAUGCGGCCCCGCACUCCCGGGGCGUCUCGUUCUCACUGCGAGAAGAGGCGCACCUAGAGCGUACACGUUGGGACCCGAAAGAUGGUGAACUAUGCCUGGUCAGGACGAAGUCAGGGGAAACCCUGAUGGAGGUCCGUAGCGAUUCUGACGUGCAAAUCGAUCGUCGGAACUGGGUAUAGGGGCGAAAGACUAAUCGAA
RNAcentral lists this ribosomal RNA (816 nucleotides) under Lepidotrigona terminata. RNAcentral describes it as "eukaryotic LSU rRNA". It matches the Rfam family "Eukaryotic large subunit ribosomal RNA", at positions 402 to 939 of the family's 3401-position model. The record is from RNAcentral. Lineage: Eukaryota; Metazoa; Arthropoda; Insecta; Hymenoptera; Apidae.